UUUUUAAGAACACAUCUGCAGAUAAUAAUUGCUGUAAGCCAGUUGAUAGUGGAUGUAGCACUAAGUGGAGGAUCGAGAUUUCAGGAGUCUUUAUUCAUUAUCAAUAACUUUACAAACAGUGACAGACCUAUGAAGAAGUCAAAGACUUGACCGAGAGAAUCCGUACUGUUCUUAUGGCCGCAGCUCAAAUGAAGGAGCAUGAGAAGGACCCCGAAAUGCUAAUUGAUCUCCAGUAUAGCUUAGCCAAGUCCUACACAAGUAUCUCAGAGCUCAGGAAAACCUGGCUUGGUAGCAUGGCCAAGAUUCAUAUAAAAAAUGGAGAUUUUUCAGAGGCAGCAAUGUGUUAUGUCCACAUAGCAGUUUUGGUUGCAGAGUUUCUUUAUCAAAAAAGU
This is a long non-coding RNA of Capra hircus (goat), 392 nucleotides long. RefSeq lists it as uncharacterized. The record is from RefSeq and is a predicted model, not a curated record. The transcript has 4 exons. Lineage: Eukaryota; Metazoa; Chordata; Mammalia; Artiodactyla; Bovidae.